GGGGAAUAUUGCACAAUGGGCGAAAGCCUGAUGCAGCAACGCCGCGUGAGUGAUGAAGGUCUUCGGAUUGUAAAGCUCUGUCUUUUGGGACGAUAAUGACGGUACCAAAGGAGGAAGCCACGGCUAACUACGUGCCAGCAGCCGCGGUAAUACGUAGGUGGCGAGCGUUGUCCGGAUUUACUGGGCGUAAAGGGUGCGUAGGCGGAUGUUUAAGUGAGAUGUGAAAUACCCGGGCUUAACUUGGGUGCUGCAUUUCAAACUGGAUAUCUAGAGUGCAGGAGAGGAGAAUGGAAUUCCUAGUGUAGCGGUGAAAUGCGUAGAGAUUAGGAAGAACACCAGUGGCGAAGGCGAUUCUCUGGACUGUAACUGACGCUGAGGCACGAAAGCGUGGGUAGCAAACAGGAUUAGAUACCCUGGUAGUCCACGCCGUAAAACGAUGAGUACUAGGUGUAGGAGGUAUCGACCCCUUCUGUGCCGCAGUAAACACAUUAAGUACUCCGCCUGGGAAGUACGAUCGCAAGAUU
RNAcentral lists this ribosomal RNA (524 nucleotides) under uncultured bacterium. Its description in RNAcentral is "partial 16S ribosomal RNA". It matches the Rfam family "Bacterial small subunit ribosomal RNA", at positions 356 to 895 of the family's 1533-position model. The record is from RNAcentral.